RNAcentral lists this microRNA precursor (96 nucleotides) under Microtus ochrogaster (prairie vole). RNAcentral's name for it is "miRNA (ENSMOCG00000005767.1)". The record is from RNAcentral. Lineage: Eukaryota; Metazoa; Chordata; Mammalia; Rodentia; Cricetidae.
AGAGGCAGGCGGAUGUCUGUGAGUUCGAGGCCAGCCUGCUCUAUAGAGUGGAUUCUAGGACAGCCAGGGUUACACAGAUAAACACUGUCUCAAAAA